UUACCAGACCAUAUCGAUGGUAUGAUUGAAAUUCUUAUUGAAGGGCACAUGGGUGACUAUAACGGGAAGCUUUACUGGAUUGUGGAACAUGGGUAUGAUUUUCUGGUCUAUGAUGCCAUCAAGAGUGAGUUUUAGAUGGAUCGCCUCGACCCUCCUUCAAAUGCAUUGCAAGAUAGAUGGUAUGAUCGAAAGAUAUCUCAGUACAGUGGGCUUACCAUAUGUCAAGGCUUGUUAUGGGUAGGACAAUGUGUGGGUAGACGACUAAGAGUAUUCGUGUUUGAAGAUGGCCAGUGGUGUCUCAAAGCAUGAUGUUGAUGUCCUUGCUAAUAUGCAAUGGCAAUGCAGUUGGGCGGUGGAAGUUCGAGCGUAUGCAUCCCAGUGAUCCCAUGGUAGGGUAUCUGUCCACCAAAGACAUGUUGCUAGAAUGCAAUUUUGGAAGCAAAACCGUGAUAGUGGUGUUCGACAUCGAGGAAGACUCAUCUGGGGAACUCUUCUACGUGUUGCCCAUUUAUCUUCC
RNAcentral lists this long non-coding RNA (517 nucleotides) under Linum usitatissimum (flax). Its description in RNAcentral is "long non-coding RNA (LUSI_LNC001770)". The record is from RNAcentral. Lineage: Eukaryota; Viridiplantae; Streptophyta; Magnoliopsida; Malpighiales; Linaceae.